CCUGGUGGCUCAGUGGUAAAGAAUCUGCCUGCAAUGCAGGAGACCCAGGUUCCAUCCCUGGGUCAGGA
RNAcentral lists this transfer RNA (68 nucleotides) under Odocoileus virginianus texanus. It matches the Rfam family "tRNA". Rfam says of the family: Transfer RNA (tRNA) molecules are approximately 80 nucleotides in length. Their secondary structure includes four short double-helical elements and three loops (D, anti-codon, and T loops). RNAcentral also lists the same sequence under 4 other names. Lineage: Eukaryota; Metazoa; Chordata; Mammalia; Artiodactyla; Cervidae. The record is from Rfam by way of RNAcentral.